Molecule: ribosomal RNA, 497 nt
Filed under: uncultured bacterium
Lineage: Bacteria
Description: partial 16S ribosomal RNA
Rfam family: Bacterial small subunit ribosomal RNA
Source: RNAcentral
AACGAACGCUGGCGGCGUGCCUAAUACAUGCAAGUCGAGCGCUUCCGGUUGGUUCUUGUACCAACUGGAUGAGCAGCCGACGGGUGAGUAACGCGUGGAGGAUCUGCCUUUGAGCGAGGGACAACAUUUGGGAACGAGUGCUAAUACCGCAUAAAAUCUUUAAACACAAGUUUCAAGUUUGAAAGAUGCAAUUGCAUCACUCAAAGAUGAUCCCGCGUUGUAUUAGCUAGGUGGUGGGGUAAAGGCUCACCAAAGCGAGGAUACGUAGCCGACCUGAGAGGGUGAUCGGCAAAAUUGGGAUGGGGACACGGCCCAAACCCCUACGGGAGGGAGACGGAGGGAACCUUUGGGGAUGGACGAAAGGCUGACCGAGCAACGCCGGGUGCGAGAAGAAGGCUGUCGGGUCGUAAGAGUCAGGAGGUAGAGAAGAAAGUUAGGGAGAGUGGAAAGCGCAGAAAGUGACGGUAACUGGAGAGAAAGGGACGGCUAACUACGUG